AAUCAGCCAGAGAAUACCAAAUCCCUAAACUCCACGAGCACUAUUCUUCGUCUCCGAAGAACACAAACAAGACCCAAAGUUCUGUCCAAAUCCAUGGCGAGUGAGCAUAAAUACCUAACCCACGCGUCCCUCUAUCUCUCCUCUUUCCGCUACUAACAGCUCAUGACGCCGAGAUUCCCUCUCCUAUUACUUCCUCAUUUUUAGACCUAUCUCACGGUUGGAAGCUUCUGGAGAUGAAAUGUUGGAUGAGCGUGAGGCGUUGAAUUUAUUUCCCAAAAUUCGAGGCCCAUAUUCAUCAAGGAUUGGUCUCCAAAAAAGGCUUUAUCCAAUUUUGUGAGGGGACUCAGCGAAAAAGAUUCAGAAAAAACAAGUGGAAAGCAUUCUAGAAUUUAUGGUUUUCUGAGUUUGUUUCUUUCUUCUGGAUUGAUUUCAUUAAAUAUUUAAGAGAAAGAUAUUUUUUUACUUUCUGAGUCCUGUUUUGAAUUCAAAAGAUAUGAAAAGAUGAAUUGAAUCUCGGGUUUGAUUAUCUGUUGUUGUUCUGCUGAGUUGUUGCUGGACCUCGAUAGGAUUUGGAGGCGAGAGUUGUAUUGUCGGGUUUAUAAUUGUAAUAAAAGAAGAUUUGCAACUUCAGGUUCCAUUUUCCUCUCUAUGUUUCAAUGCGACUCUUUUUUGCUCAGUGUUUUUUGAUCUAUCAGAUUUAAUCUAGUGUGGUUUGUUUGUGUUAUGAUCGAACUUUUUGCUAACUAGAUCUGUUUGCAAUGGUAGUAUGUGUUUGAGUAUUUGCAGUUAGUAGAAAUCGAUUUGAGUAGUCAUCUGGUUUGAAGUAUAUUUUGAAUCAAUGUGUCAUUACUUAAAAUGAACGAUUUGUUCAGUUUCUUUUGGUGAUCUUCUUUGCAAUACGCUAUAGUAUUCGUGAUUAUUUAAUAGAGCCAUAAGGUUCAAAAAGUUAAUUAAUAGUUCUAUAGAUGCUAUACUGGAAAUGUGUGGUCAACCUAGAAUGAUUUUCACUGUUAGCUUUGGUGUUGUUAUAGAGGAUUCAGCAUACAACUAAUCAAUGGUUGUGCUAAGGCUGACCUCAAAUAAAUUGGUUCUAAUAUCUUUAGAAUAGAGUUGCUGGAUGUCUUCUAUGUGCUGAUUGAUAAACUGUAGCAUUGCACUUGUUUAGUCGACUCUAUUUAAAAUAUUCUUUCAGUUUUGUCAUGGUUAUUAUGUGUGACAUGGUGCAUUAGUCAAGCUAGUGCAUAUUUUGAAGGGUUUUUGUCUAAUGUGAAUCCUACUAUGUUGUUCUAUGAAUCGGGAUCUUUGGUUGACGUCUCUACUAACUUGAUCUUAGUAUACUCUUUUAAGAGUUUUGAAAUGAAACCAUUUGAAGGUUUAACAAAUGUGAGGCCUAUUGGAUACCUUAACUGGAUGGACUGAUGUUUACGUGAAUCAACCAUUCUGAGUUAGUGUCUAAGCAUGAAUAUUAGCAUGUUUACUUGAAUCGACUUCUAGGCUAGCAUGGGAUCAUUCCGCUGAAAAUUUGCUUCGUUUGCACUGCCCAAACAGUCUAUUUGCACAACUUUGAGUGUAAAUUUCUGCAAUGUUAGCAGGCAGCAGCUCUGACGUAUUAGUAGUUCAUGUGUUUAUAUGAGUUUUUCUUGAUUUUGUGAUUGCUAAUCAGUCAGAGUAAAUCUGCAGAGGUGAGUUUGUUUUUGAUAGGUUCAUCGUUGGGUAGGAGUUUUCAGUGAAUUUUAUUUCGUCAAUUUGGGGUAUAACUGAUGCAUGUAAAUCAUACUGUUGUCCAAUGGCUCUUGUGUAGUAAUCAUUUCAUCGGGUAGUCCCAUUCGUUUCCCUGGAAUGUUUUGGAACAUGUUUGUAAUAUCAGGAGGGGAAUCUGAACUAUGUGCUUCAUUGAUUCUGAUGUGUUGCUGCAUACUCAUGUCGUACUACUACUAUCAUGAGUUUGAAACUAGAGUAAUCUUGCAAAAACAUGGAUUUCAAGGGAUGUAAACAAGCACCAGUUAUGUUGUAGUUUGUGAUUACAUUUGGUAAUUGUAUGAUUGGUUUUUUAUGGUUUGUCUUCAUGUAAUGGACAUUUUCUUCUUCUCCCUAAGCUUCUGCAUAUAAUCUGCUCAAAAUCCUUAUGUUUCUCAUGCUGGUACAAGAUAAUAACAUAGAUGAAUUCAUUUCAUUUGAUAUUAAGUGGUUAAAUCCAUAGCUGGUUUAAUUUUGUGCAGCGCUCUAAUGGUUAUUCACUGGCUGCAUAUUUCCACACUAUGUGCUUCUUCUUUCUUAGCUCACAUUUUUUCCUUUUGAAAAAUUCAUAUUACCUUCUCUUCAUGCAAUCAGGCUGCCGAGUUGGGCUUCAGGUGGAGCCCAGUUGUUUUACACGUUGGGCCUGCAGAAAUAGGCAGGCAAACAUCGAGAUUUAGACUGGCCUAGCCAUUUCAUAAUAUAAUAGGGUUGGUCCUUUACGAGUUUUAAUGUUUUAUGGAAUUAUUAGAUUGAGUCUGACAAAAUAUAUGUAGGAGUGAGCUUACGUCCUUUAAUAAACUAGUAAUGUCCUUUAAAAUAAAUUGUGGUGCGUUGCACAAAAUUAAAUCACAAAUUGCGCGGCCCUUUUAGUUAUACCUUUUAAAAUCCUUAAAACACGGGACAUACCAUAUAGUAAAUUUUCAUGGCCUCGCGCAAAUUUAACAAUGCAUUAGUUGCUUGAAGUGCGUCAUUUAAUAGUUUACCUUCCUAAACUCGGGUUUGCAUUUCAUGUGACCCAAAUCUAAAUCCAAUAACGUUGAAUAAAAUAUGCUACGGAUGGGGGUGCAUUUCAUGUGACAUGAUCCAAAGGCACGAAUUAAACGACGUUCAAAAUUCAUUCAAAAUUAAUUAUAAGCGGUAAGUAAUUUUAAAAUUGCACUAUAGGAUGAACAUGUUUUAAAAUCAGAUAUGCUUUUCAUUUUCAGACCAAUUAAGAUAGUUGAAGCGACCGUGCUAGAACCACGGGAUUUGAGGGUACCUAACACCUUCCCUCGGGUUAACAGAAUUCCUUAGUCAAAAUUUCUAGUUCUGAGACUUCAUUUGGAAAUUCAAAAAUUUCCUCGACUCGGGAUUCUAGAUAAACCGGUGACUUGGGACACCAAAGGCCAAAUCUAUCCCUAGCGGCGACUCUGACAAAUAAAUAAUCCCAUUUCGAAUAAUGUCACUUAAAUUUGAAAAAAUCCCUUAUACACUAUCCUUGGUGUAGGUGUAUAAAAAAUGAGGUGUGACACUAAGGUUAGACCAAACACUUACCUCAAACUUCUUCGGUCAAUUCAAACUCUAAUAACCGCCUUGCCUCUCAAAUUUGGCUCCAAAUCAAUUGUAUAGAUACAAUAAUAAAUUCAAUACAUCAAUAAAUGCUAAACAAUGCAAACCCAAUGCUUAAUUAUAGCUUUUCCAUCAUUUUUUCUCAAAACCCAAAAGUUGACCCUGGGCCUGCUUAGUCAAAAUACGAGGUUCCGACAAAAAUCAAAUCACCCAUUCACCUACGAGCCCGAAUAUAUCAUUUGCUUUCAAAUUCCACCCAAAAACGAGGUUCAAAUCAAGAAAAACCAAAAACCCCUAACUCUACCCAAAUACCCAAUUUUCUACCAUAAAUCACAUGUUUUAGGCCUAGAAUUUCAUUAAAUGUUGAUGAAAAUGGAAGAAAACGGGUGGAGAUUACAUAACCAAGAAGUUAUGGAGAGAAAGUGCUUCAUAAAUCGCCCAGAGCUUUGGAGAAGAAGGAACUUUGGAAAUUUUUUAAAAUCUCAUUUACAUAGAAUUUUUGGAAUUUAAAAUAACUGGGUGAAUUUGUUCUACCCAAUCGCGGGCAAUAGGUUGCAAUCGCAUAGGGUAAAGUUUGUUGGGCACUGCGAUCGCCGACAUAAAGUUGCAAUUGCAUAGAGUUGAGUUUUUGAGCACUACGAUCGCGGACGAUAACACGUGGUCGCAUACAAGAAGAAAAUGAAAGUUGGGUUUAUAUAACACCAUCGCAUAGAGGAGAAUGCAAUUGCAUAGAAGGAUAUGUGAACCCUUGAAGUUUGCGCUAUGCGAUCGCGACCCUUUUUAUACAAUCGCAUAGAGUAAAUCACUGGAAAAUAGACAUCAGCUAUUUCUUCAACAUUUCUACGGCUAGAAAAAUGUUGAUACUCAUUCGAGUCACACCCGAGCACUCGGGGAUCUAACCAAACACAUGAACUAACUCAACAACAUCAUACGAACUUAUUCGUUUGAUCAAAUCGCCAAAAUAAGAUACAAAAAUGGAACUUUAGACCUCAUUAACUUUGAAAUUUGGAAUUUUAUGUCCGAAAUACGUCAAACGACAUCCAUUUUUAUACAAACUUUAUAGUAAUAUCUUAAUUCACAAACAAGACCUGUAUCGGGGACCCGAUACCAACAUGUUCCAAUCACAUAUCACUUAGAUUUUUUCUUAACAAUUUUAGAAAAAUAAUUUCUUUUAACAAUUUAUUUCUCAGGCUCAGAACAUUGGAAUUCGAUUUCGGGCGUACGCCCGAGUCCCAUAUUUUUCUAUGGACCCUGCGAUAUAUUCAAAUAACAGGUCCAAAUCCGUUUGCCCAAAAAGUUUACCAAUGUCCAAUUUAUUGUGAGCAUGUGAUUUUUGCCCUACAUGAAUUACUCUUGUAUAUUCAAACUGAAUCAUUUAUUCUAUUAUUUGGCAAUUUUGUGGUUUUUGGACAUUUUACGUGUUUUGUCCGUGCAUUUAAAUUAAUGAAAAAUACAAAAUUCUUUGCAUGUGCAUUUAGGAUAUUGUUAUGCAUUUUAGGAUUAAUCAGAAAAUCAAUUGUUUUAUGGAAAAAAAUCAUCAAAAUAUCGUGUAAUUUGCAUUUUUAAUGUUAAUCUUGAUUUUUUGAGUAGUUUUUGUGCUAAGUUGUUUUAAUUAAUGGUUUGAAUUGUCAUUUUUGUGUUUAAUUAGUUUUUUAGUUUUAGUUAAUUCAUUUUUAGGAAUUAAUUGAGAUUUAUGUUUAGUUUUAGUUAAUUCAGUUUUAGGAAUUAAUUGAGAUUUAUGUUUAGUUUUAGAAUUAAAAGAAAUUAAAAGGAAGUUGAAAACAAAAAAGAAACAAAGAAAAAAAAAGCAAAACAAAAUCUGGAAAAUUGAGCCCUAUAUUGGGCCCAAAAUUCUUCUAAAGCAGUCCAAAAACCCUCCCAAACCCCGGUGCAUGCCCACCCCAACCCCGUCCAACCCCUUCUCCUAGCCAAACGACGUUGUUCCAUGGCAAUUCAAUCUGGGCCGUCGAGGUUGGCUUGAUCCAAUGGUUGUGAAGCCUGCCUCACUUAAUAUAAAUAUGUUCAAACAUUACCCCUUUACCCCCCUCUCGGUCUCUACCCCUUCUCUCAUCAGAGACUUGUAACGCCACCAUUUCCCACUGUAAACAGCCGGCCGAAAAUCGUCUCUACCGGAGGCGAUUACUCAAAAGUAUUCAAAUAAACACCACUCCACUUCCUCAACUUCCUCUUUCAAAAUCUGGGCCCGGUUUCUCUCAAAUCCCCACCAAUCGUCUCGAAUAUCCAUUCGAAAUGUCAGGUACUCCGCCACGUACGGCGGCACCGGCCCUAAACUCCAUCAAAAUAACACCCUAAAGCACCCAGACCUCCCUAAUUCUAAAUCCUUAUUCCACCGCCCUCAAACCUCUCUCUAAGUGCUCAACACCCCAAAGCUAAGGGUUUCGGAGUUUGCAUGGAAGUCUCCUUCGAAACCAAUGUCCAAUUUGGAUUUAAGCUAAAGUCUCCUAGGCUCUUCUUUUCUAAACGUCCCUCUUCCUCAUCUUUUCUAUCAGUUUGGUUUUGUUUUUGAAUUAGGUUUAAGCCAUUGAAUCUCUUCUGUCAAUUUUAGCAUUUGUUUGUUAAUUGACUUCAAAAUUAGGUUUAGUUUUGUGUUAGUUAAAUUUGUUCUAGUCUAUUGUUUGAAUUCCAUCCUUGAGUUCAAUUAGUUUUAGUUUGGUUGUUAAGUGGAUUUCAUGAUUGGUUCCUAAAGUCGAAUUAGAUUUUGUGCAUAACAGUUGAGUCUGUCAUUUGGAAAAUCUGGGUUACAUUAUUCGCUUUUAAUAUAUCUUGGGGUACAAUUUUUUUAUAUUACGGGUAUAGUUCAUUAUGCUGAUUUUCUUUCCAUUUCUUUCGUAAUUGGAUUUUUUUGGACAUAUCAUGAUUCAAACCUGAACAAGAAUAUUUAUAAUCAAAGGGCAAUUCAGGGUAAUAAAAGAGGUAAAAUCAAGGCAAUUCAGGGGUAGUUUAACAAGUACGGAGAAAAGAGUCUUAGUAUAACUGAUUUUAAAAGCGUCGAGUAGGGGUCUAGGAAGAAAUUCAGAUUUUUAACAGCACAUCUUGGGUCGCAAGCAAAUAAGUGAAGGAACCUAUGAUAAAAACAAGAAAUUUAAAGAAGGACUAAAGGGCAAAAGUGAAUUUAUGAAGCUUGCCCUAACUCUUGCAUAUAAAAGGCACGAUGUAUUUGCCUUAGGGGUAAGGGGGCAAGAAUAGAAAAGGGAAAUUUUUUAACAAAAAGAGAACACAGGCGGCUGAAAAUUGGUCAAGGUUUUUACAGUCCUAUUUCCACUCUGAGUUUUGGAACUCUUCAUCUUUGAAAAUUAAUUACUCUUGUGUGAGUGUUUUGCAAAGGCUCGAGUUUGAUUCCUGUUGAAAAUCUUGGUAGAUUGAGUAGUCAUAUCACUGUUUCAUUGGUUAUUUCUGUGUAGAUUUCCUUGAUAUUAUUGCUUGGAAUUGUUGUUGAUGGUUUAUGCUGUUUGGUUUCUUCUUAAGCUCAUAGCCCCAUUGUUUAUCUGUUGUAUCUGGUACAUACUGCAAACCUCAAUGUGUAAUCAAAUUGGGAGAUGAAUGAAGCUAUUUCAGGGUUGAAGCAUUAGUUGUCGUUUAAGAAAAAUGACCAUGUCCCCUUGCUUGCCAGUUUUAGACUAUUGAUGUAGAUUUCUUUCUUAAAGUAGUUAGGGAUUAAGCUAUAAUUAAUAAUGGACUACAAAUUAUCGUUUCUCUACACGCGCUAGUUUUGUUUAUUAUCUGUAGUAUACUAAUUGGACAUGUAUAACUGAACGUUUGGUAGGCUGGUUUAUAGCCAUUGCUUGAAAUGAUUUGUAUGUUAGACUAUCAGUUUCCCCCUUCCCUCCUAGUUUCCUCAUAUUUCAGUGCUCGAAUUCACUGAUGAGUCGUGUAGCUGUUAAUUUUAGUAGUAUAAUUUUGUCAGCAAUUCAUGAUACCUAGAGGAAUCAUCAGAUUCUAUCAUUGAUCCAGUGUGUAUGGAUCUGGUGUUCUUCUAGUAGUUUUGUCAAGCUAUAAUAAUUGAGUCUUUUUUUUACUCAUAAGGCAUGGCAUUCAUAUAGAGUUUAGCUUAAGGUAAUACUGAUUCCUUUCAAGUGUUUCAAAGUUUGUAAGAAUGUUUAAGCGUUAGUUUGAAUUUUAAUUUUGGAAUAUUGGGAGACCAUAAGAAGUAAUUAUGGGAUUAAUCUGUUGAUUUGCAUAAGUAUAUUCUGUGAGUACUAGGUGUUUAAAAUGGGAUUUAGUCAAUUCAAGAUCUAUGCAUUAGUGUUUGGUUUUCACAAUUUAGUUUUGUGGUCAUUUGACUGAACCUACAAAUCUGCCAAUGUACAAUCUGUUGUCAAUGUCUUUCAUUAGAUUAAAUAUUUCUUCUAUCCAAUUGCUUAAAUGUGAUUCCAUGGCUUCUUGCUCGAUCUAGGUUUGCUCCGUUGGCGUUGG
This 7719-nucleotide long non-coding RNA is filed under the name Nicotiana benthamiana. RNAcentral describes it as "long non-coding RNA (NBEN_LNC033691)". The record is from RNAcentral. Lineage: Eukaryota; Viridiplantae; Streptophyta; Magnoliopsida; Solanales; Solanaceae.